RNAcentral lists this ribosomal RNA (394 nucleotides) under uncultured bacterium. Its description in RNAcentral is "bacterial SSU rRNA". It matches the Rfam family "Bacterial small subunit ribosomal RNA", at positions 30 to 423 of the family's 1533-position model. The record is from RNAcentral.
AUUGAACGCUGGCGGCAGGCCUAACACAUGCAAGUCGAGCGGUAGAGAGGUGCUUGCAUCUCUUGAGAGCGGCGGACGGGUGAGUAAUGCCUAGGAAUCUGCCUAGUGGUGGGGGAUAACGUUCGGAAACGGACGCUAAUACCGCAUACGUCCUACGGGAGAAAGCGGGGGGAUCUUCGGACCUCGCGCCAUUAGAUGAGCCUAGGUCGGAUUAGCUAGUUGGUGAGGUAAUGGCUCACCAAGGCGACGAUCCGUAACUGGUCUGAGAGGAUGAUCAGUCACACUGGAACUGAGACACGGUCCAGACUCUACGGAGGCAGCAGUGGGAAUAUUGGACAAUGGGCGAAAGCCUGAUCCAGCCAUGCCGCGUGUGUGAAGGAAAGGUCUUUCCGGG